AGUGAACGCUGGCGGUAGGCCUAACACAUGCAAGUCGAACGGCAGCACAGUAAGAGCUUGCUCUUACGGGUGGCGAGUGGCGGACGAGUGAGGAAUACAUCGGAAUCUACUUUUUCGUGGGGGAUAACGUAGGGAAACUUACGCUAAUACCGCAUACGACCUACGGGUGAAAGCAGGGGAUCUUCGGACCUUGCGCGAUUGAAUGAGCCGAUGUCGGAUUAGCUAGUUGGCGGGGUAAAGGCCCACCAAGGCGACGAUCCGUAGCUGGUCUGAGAGGAUGAUCAGCCACACUGGAACUGAGACACGGUCCAGAUUCCUACGGGAGGCAGCAGUGGGGAAUAUUGGACAAUGGGCGCAAGCCUGAUCCAGCCAUACCGCGUGGGUGAAGAAGGCCUUCGGGUUGUAAAGCCCUUUUGUUGGGAAAGAAAAGCAGCAGGUUAAUACCCCGCUGUUCUGACGGUACCCAAAGAAUAAGCACCGGCUAACUUCGUG
RNAcentral lists this ribosomal RNA (492 nucleotides) under uncultured bacterium. RNAcentral's name for it is "partial 16S ribosomal RNA". It matches the Rfam family "Bacterial small subunit ribosomal RNA", at positions 29 to 507 of the family's 1533-position model. The record is from RNAcentral.